RNAcentral lists this transfer RNA (77 nucleotides) under Pseudomonadota bacterium. RNAcentral describes it as "tRNA-Arg". It matches the Rfam family "tRNA". Rfam says of the family: Transfer RNA (tRNA) molecules are approximately 80 nucleotides in length. Their secondary structure includes four short double-helical elements and three loops (D, anti-codon, and T loops). RNAcentral also lists the same sequence under 2 other names. Lineage: Bacteria; Pseudomonadati; Pseudomonadota. The record is from RNAcentral.
GCGCCCGUAGCUCAGCUGGAUAGAGUACCGCGCUUCGAACGCGGGUGUCGGCGGUUCGAAUCCGUCCGGGCGCACCA